This 561-nucleotide ribosomal RNA is filed under the name uncultured bacterium. RNAcentral's name for it is "bacterial SSU rRNA". It matches the Rfam family "Bacterial small subunit ribosomal RNA", at positions 338 to 916 of the family's 1533-position model. The record is from RNAcentral.
CCUACGGGAGGCAGCAGUGGGGAAUAUUGGACAAUGGGCGAAAGCCUGAUCCAGCAAUGCCGCGUGAGUGAAGAAGGCCUUCGGGUUGUAAAGCUCUUUUACCCGGGAAGAUAAUGACUGUACCUGGAGAAUAAGCCCCGGCUAACUCCGUGCCAGCAGCCGCGGUAAUACGGAGGGGGCUAGCGUUGUUCGGAAUUACUGGGCGUAAAGCGUACGUAGGCGGCUUUUUAAGUCAGAGGUGAAAUCCCGGGGCUCAACUCCGGAACUGCCUUUGAGACUGGAUCGCUUGAACGUCGGAGAGGUGAGUGGAAUUCCGAGUGUAGAGGUGAAAUUCGUAGAUAUUCGGAAGAACACCAGUGGCGAAGGCGGCUCACUGGACGACUGUUGACGCUGAGGUACGAAAGCGUGGGGAGCAAACAGGAUUAGAUACCCUGGUAGUCCACGCCGUAAACGAUGAGAACUAGCUGUCGGGGCUCUUAGAGCCUCGGUGGCGCAGCUAACGCAUUAAGUUCUCCGCCUGGGGAGUACGGCCGCAAGGUUAAAACUCAAAGGAAUUGACGG